CUUUUGCCCUGUUUUUAAAGCUGGAAUGCUUCAGUUCUUGUUCAUUGUAGUUGCAUAAUUAAACAGCGAACAGCACAUUAUUCAGAAUUUUCUCUUUUUGUGUUCCACAGAUAAAAAAGAAAGAAGAAAGUCAGGCUUUAACAUAAACAAACUGAACAAAACAAAAAUGAAGCAGCUCUUGGAGUUCAAGAUCCUCCAGCUCUCGGUUAUAAAGCCCAUCUCUGACACAAUUGUAUUCAUUUGGAGAGGGUUGGGAGGACUUUGCCAUUCCUCCCCCGUUUGUGAGCAGGCUUGGUCAGAUCGUGGGAAAGGCCCUCCACGUAAAGCAGUUUAUUCUUUGUCACUGUUGUUCUUGUGUAAUUGAUCUCACUCCACGUCGAUGGGCGGAAGACUUCAAAGACACGCGGCUGUUGGAGGUCGAUCUGCUUGUGCUCGCGGCCUUGAGGGACAAAAAACAACUGCUUCCCGAACGCUUACAACGCACACUUUUGAUGAGUGCGUAAAAUUGCAUAGUAUGAGGCGUGACGUGAACUGUGUGUAUUUGGUGGAAACGCCACAUUAUGUAUUUAUGCUGUAAUUAAAUUAACCAGGCCUAUAAUUAAAUUGCUCAGUGGCCAUAUAGGACUUACAUAACAAACAAAAGUUUAUUUGAAUGAUUUUAUUUUUUUAUAAUGUUCGAAGUCCAUUUUUUAUAGGCUAUUUUUAUUUUUAACCAAAGUUAUAGCAUGAAACAGCCUAGUCCGAAUCCUGAACUAACGACUCGUAUAAAGCGGUUAUUUUUUGUGAAUCAAAAUCAUACAGCGGCACCAGUGUAUUCCGAUUCACAAAGAGUGAAUGCUUGCUUUAUUUAUUCAUUCAUUCAUUGAAAAACAUGCAGCGCGACCAGUGUUAUCCGAUUCGGAACUAAUGAUUUUUUUCUAAUAAAUCCAAACACAUUUGAAUCAGCAGGGUUACUCAAUUAAUCUGACUCAACUAUUGAACAGCAAAUCGUGUUUUUAAAUGUUUUAUUAGCAACAAAUACCAAUUUUUCACAUGCAUAAUUACAAACCGCAAAUCAUGAAUCAAGAACUAGCUUCUAAAGCA
This is a long non-coding RNA of Onychostoma macrolepis, 1083 nucleotides long. RefSeq lists it as uncharacterized. Lineage: Eukaryota; Metazoa; Chordata; Actinopteri; Cypriniformes; Cyprinidae. The transcript is spliced from 3 exons. The record is from RefSeq and is a predicted model, not a curated record.